Molecule: long non-coding RNA, 1884 nt
Organism: Cyprinus carpio carpio
Lineage: Eukaryota; Metazoa; Chordata; Actinopteri; Cypriniformes; Cyprinidae
Source: Ensembl
AUACUCAGUGUAUUUCUGUUUCUCUUUUCAUAGUGUGGAAAAUUGCUUGAUUUUAAAUUUAAACAGUCAGUGCGGUUGGCAAAGUUCCGUACCAAAGCCCUACUGCACAUGCACAGUGGGCUAAAACAACAGUUGCAUCAAGGAAUCAAUCCAAAGUCCUUGACAAUUUAGCCAUCAUGGUAGGCAAAGGUCAACAUUCUAAUUUCAUUACCUCGCACUUUGUUCUAAACUAAAGCAUUUAUUUAGGAGGCUAUACAAAAUAAAAAUGUUUUGCAUACAACAUAAACAUAAUACAUUACACGAUCAUGAAUAAAUUGUAAUUCCUGUAAACUGACAGUUCAAAUAAAAAGUUAUUAAUAAUGGGCAGAACUAUUGUAAAUAAAAAAAACUAAUAGGCAUUUGGUAAAAUCACACAUCACUGCAGCUGGCAUUAUAAGCUCUGGUUCCCAGAAAAAGGAGAACUACUGCACAUGCACAAUAACUAAAUUAAACAAAAUUUACAGUUUUAACUCUAUUUACUCUAUUUAUAUAUUCUAAUGUCAGAAUUUAUUGGUAAUUUUAAAAUAUGUUUUGAGAUUUCAGGAGUUUCCCAUAAAUGGUAGUUAGCUUUGCAUACCCUUAAAAAAGUUGCCUGGAGGUGUUCCAAAUAUGACUUUCAAGUUAACUGAUGUGCACUGAAAGCAGAAAGCUUGCCAUACUCAACCUAAGCAGAAGCCUUGAAUUUUUUUAUUUAUUUAUUUAUUUAUUUAUUUAUUUUUUCAGAAAUUAUACAGUCUGAAUAGCCUUUCAGAUUUUUUUUUUGUAUGGUAUAAUAUAAAUAAUAAGCCUGGGCAUUUAAAAAAAAAACCACACAUGUUGGCUUGGAGUCACAUGAUGCUAAGCAUAUUUUUUAACUUUCUUUCAGAAUUAUUAUGAACCAUUUUUAAAAGCUGUACUGUUUGACGUUCUUAUAUUUUAGAUGGAGAAGCUGAAAGCUCUGGGAUAUGUUCCACUUCUUCUACUAGGGAAAUGUUCAAAGGCCCAUAAGUGGACAGCAGAGGUCCAGUGUCCCUUUGAGUUCCCAAUUGAGGGACAUAUGGUGAUGGAAAAAAUGCUCAUCCUCUUUGAGCAUAUUUUAAAGGGUUUGAGUCCAGAAGAAGAACCAGAGGUCACAGAAGGUAAUGAAGCAGAAAGUCAGGACUUGAAAAAGACUGUAGAAGAGGACAUACUGGUAAAAAAGAUGUGGAAAGACUGGAGGAUGAAGAGCAGAUCAAAGAACAACAGAUAGAAAGUGGGGAGGAAGAACCAGAGAGGCCUGUUGAGGAACAGAGAUUUAAAAGUCCAGAAAAAAAAAAAACAAGAGGACACAGAGGGCGAUAGGACAGAGAGUCAGGACUUAAAAGAGACUGUAGAAGAUGAGGAGGACAUUUUAUCAGAGAAAAAUGUAGAAGUGAGGAUGAAGGAAAGAUUUGAGGAUAAAGAGCAAAUCGAAGAACAACAGACAUAAAGUGGAGGGGAGAACCAGAGAGACCUGUUGAGGAAGGAUACAUGAAAGUGACAAAAAAGACUAAACAGGCAAAGGAGAUGAAGAAACAGGCAAAGAAAAGAAUGAGUAGUGCACUUAGGAUGAAUGAAAUGGAAGAGAGAAGAGAGAUCGAGGGAGUCAUAUUAAAACCAGAAUAGUGAGUAGAAGAAUAUGGGGUGAAGCAAAGACUCUAGAUAUAUGAACACAUUACACUCCUAUUACUCAUUAAUAAUGGCCAACAUGGCAAAUUAAUCCAACCUUCUAAAUAAAAGAGCAAAUUGUUGAUUAGAAAAGUUAACACGUCAUCUCAACUGCUGUUAGAAGCUCCGGUUGCUUUAGAAAUAGACAGUAUUUGCAUACUGCUUAUGCGCAUUGGCUGC